This 2327-nucleotide ribosomal RNA is filed under the name bioreactor sludge metagenome. RNAcentral describes it as "bacterial LSU rRNA". It matches the Rfam family "Bacterial large subunit ribosomal RNA", at positions 3 to 2316 of the family's 2925-position model. The record is from RNAcentral.
UCAAGUUAUUAAGAGCAUAGGGCGAAUGCCUUGGCACCAAGAGCCGACGAAGGACGGGAUAAGCACCGAAAUGCUACGGGGAGUCGCAAAUAGACAUCGAUCCGUAGAUAUCCGAAUGGGGGAACCCACUUGAGCAACCCUCAAGUACUCAUAACCCAAUAAAAUAAGUUAUGAGAGGUAUACCAGGGGAACUGAAACAUCUAAGUACCCUGAGGAAGAGAAAGAAACAUCGAUUUCCAAAGUAGCGGCGAGCGAAAUGGAAAGAGCCCAAACCUGAUUUAUCAGGGGUUGAGGACACAGCAAAGGACUGUAUCAUUCAUAGCCGAAGAAAGCUGGGAAGCUUUGCGAAACAAGGUGAUAGCCCUGUAGGCGAAAUGAAAGAUACACAGGCUGUGCUCCAGAGUACCACGGGACACGUGAAAUCCUGUGGGAAGCAGGGAGGCCCACCUCCCAAGGCUAAAUACUACUUGGUGACCGAUAGUGAACAGUACCGUGAGGGAAAGGCGAAAAGAACCCCGGGAGGGGAGUGAAAUAGAACCUGAAACCCUAUGCUUACAAGCAGUGGAAGCACGUUAAAAGUGUGACCGCGUACUUUUUGUAGAACGGGCCAGCGAGUUAUGAUAUGCAGCGAGGUUAAGUAAUUAAGUUACGGAGCCGCAGGGAAACCGAGUCUUAACAGGGCGAAAAUAGUUGCAUGUCAUAGACCCGAAACCGGGUGACCUAUCCAUGGGCAGAGUGAAGUUUUAGUAAAAUAAAAUGGAGGCUCGAACCCGGUAGCGUUUAAAAGCUAUGGGAUGACCUGUGGAUAGGGGUGAAAAGCCAAUCGAACUCGGAGAUAGCUGGUUCUCCUCGAAAUAGCUUUAGGGCUAGCCUCAAGAGAGCAUGAGAUGGAGGUAGAGCACUGAAUGGUCUAGGGGCACAUAGUGUUACCAAAACCUAUCAAACUCCGAAUGCCAUCCUCAUAAGCUUGGGAGUCAGACUGUGGGGGAUAAGCUUCAUAGUCAAAAGGGAAAGAGCCCAGAUCACCAGCUAAGGUCCCAAAAUUCUGAUUAAGUGGUAAAGGAUGUGAGGUUUCACAGACAACCAGGAUGUUGGCUUAGAAGCAGCCAUACAUUUAAAGAGUGCGUAAUAGCUCACUGGUCGAGAGACCUUGCGCCGAAGAUUUCCGGGGCUAAAAUCAGAUACCGAAGCUGUGGGAUUACGUAGUAAUCGGUAGAGGAGCAUUGUGUAAGGGACGAAGGUGUACCGAAAGGAGCGCUGGACAUUACACAAGAGAGAAUGCUGGCAUAAGUAGCGAAAGGUGAGUGAGAAUCUCACCCGUCGAAAACCUAAGGUUUCCUGAGGAAGGCUCGUCCACUCAGGGUAAGUCGGGACCUAAGCCAAGGCUGAAAAGCGUAGGUGAUGGACAACAGGUUAUAAUUCCUGUACUGGAGGUAUUCGUUAACAGAGAAGUGGGGACGCAGGAGGAUAUGCAGAGCGUGCGGUUGGAAGAGCACGUCUAAGCACGUAGGGAGAGAAGACAGGCAAAUCCGUUUUCUUAAAAUCCUGAGGUGUGAUGGGGAUCGAAAAACAAGUAGAGAAGCUGUAGACUCCACACUGCCAAGAAAAGCCACUAUCGAGAAUAUUUUCACCCGUACCGCAAACCGACACAGGUAGGUGAGGAGAGAAUCCUAAGACGAGCGGAAGAACCUUUGUUAAGGAACUCGGCAAAAUAGCCCCGUAACUUCGGGAGAAGGGGUGCCAUUUGGAGUGGAUAUCAUACGAUAUAUAAGCUUCGGGUGGCCGCAGUGAAAAGGCCCAAGCGACUGUUUACCAAAAACACAACUCUCUGCUAAGUCGAAAGACGAAGUAUAGGGGGUGACACCUGCCCGGUGCUGGAAGGUUAAGGGGAAUGCUUAGAGGGAAACCUCGAAGGUGUGAACUUAAGCCCCAGUAAACGGCGGCCGUAACUAUAACGGUCCUAAGGUAGCGAAAUUCCUUGUCGGGUAAGUUCCGACCCGCACGAAAGGUGUAACGAUUUGGGCACUGUCUCAACAAAGGAUCCGGUGAAAUUGUAGUACUCGUGAAGAUGCGAGUUACCCGCGACAGGACGGAAAGACCCCGUGGAGCUUUACUGCAGGCUGACAUUGGAUUUUGGCAUUGCAUGUACAGGAUAGGUGGGAGGCAUAGAAGCAAGUGCGCCAGUAUUUGUGGAGCCGCCCUUGGGAUACCACUCUUGUGAUGCUGAAAUUCUAACCUGGCACCGUGAAUCCGGUGUGGGGACACUGUCAGUUGGGCAGUUUGACUGGGGCGGUCGCCUCCUAAAAAGUAACGGAGGCGCUCAAAGG